GCACCUCAGAACAGUACCUUCAGGAGCAACAGGGAACACGUACCAACAGCACUAACAGGAAGAAGAGCACCUCUAACUCCUUCAGAAAGAAGAUGUCUUCUAGUGAUGUGUCCAGACACAUGAACACGAUAGAGCUCCAGCUGGAGGUGACUCGGUUCCUGCAUCACUGUGAAACAUCCAGCUCCGCCCCCACCCCCUCUGCCUCCUCCAGCACUCCUCCCACUCUGUUCGGCCCCAGCGCUAUGAAGAUCGAUGUAGCCUGCAAGGUGAUGUUGGGAGGAAAGAACAUCGAAGAGGGGUUUGGUAUC
Molecule: long non-coding RNA, 308 nt
Organism: Oncorhynchus gorbuscha (pink salmon)
Lineage: Eukaryota; Metazoa; Chordata; Actinopteri; Salmoniformes; Salmonidae
Exons: 3
Source: RefSeq, a predicted model, not a curated record